AAGCUGGGCUGGAGGUGACGGCAGAGCCACAGUGGCCACAGAGCCCCCACGUGAACCUACACGGAUCUGCCUGGUUUAGGUUCUGCUGAACUCCAGGGUGAGGAGGACCUGGUCUCCAUUCUCAAAGACAUGAAGAGGUUGACAAAGAAGAGUCACAGAAGUGACAAGUGUCCUGCUCCCAGCCCCGUUCACACACUCACCCAUCAAGUGUGGCAGGGACAGCCGCCUCUUACCAUCCACCUUGGGACCUGGACCUAAGUGGAGGUUUCUGGAGGGGCAGAUCCAGGGGAAAGGGUCUCCUCAGAAGCAGCCGCCAUUCAGAGGACCUGAGAUGAGAACCUCAUCACGCCCUCAUCAGACAGAGGAGAUCCGCGGUGUCUCCGAGCCUGGUCUCCCACUCCCCACCCAGCAGCGUUCCCUCCGCUCACCCCAAGCUUAGAACAUUCUGCUUCCCCUAAGAUCAGCUGCCGCAGUGGACUGAAUAGUGACCCCCAAAAGACAUGCCAGAGCCCUAGCCCUCGGACCUGUGAAUGUGACAGGAGUUGGAAUAGGGUCUUUGCAGAUGCAAUAAAGGAUCUCAAGAGGAGAGUAUCCUGGAUUUAGGGUGGGCUCUAAAUGCAAUGACAAGCAUCCUUACGAGACACAGAGACACAGAGAAAAGGCCAUGUGAAGACGGAGCAGGGAGUGGCGUGACGCAUCUACAUGCCCAGGAGCACCCGGGAGCCACCAGAAGCUGGGAGAGAGGCCUGGGCCGGAGCCUCCCGCAGAGGCCCCAAAGGAUCAGCCUGGUCGACACCUUGAUUUUGGACUUCUGGCCUCUAGAACCAUCUUCAGCCCCCAAAGUUCGUGGGGCUUUGUUGCAGCAGCCCCAGCAAACUGUCACGGGGGCCCUCCUCCCCUGCUAAGCCUGGUACCCAAAGCUCCCCAGCUAUCUGGGGCUAACCACACUGACCCUGGGACUUUCAGGUCACCCGUGUGUCCCACUCUUCUGCUUAACCUUCAGUGCCUGUGUGGUCACAGCUUCUCUCUCGUGAUAUGAGUCCUCUGGGCCUCUGAGUGCUCAUCUGCCC
Homo sapiens (human) is the source of this 1070-nucleotide long non-coding RNA. NCBI's taxonomy places the organism in Eukaryota, Metazoa, Chordata, Mammalia, Primates, Hominidae. The record is from Ensembl.